AGCUCCAAUAGCGUAUAUUAAGAUUGCUGCGGUUAAAAAGCUCGUAGUUGGAUUUCUGCCGAGGACGACCUGUCUGCCCACUGGGUGUGUAUCUGGGUCGGCCUGGGCAUAUUCUUGGAGAACGUAUCUGCACUUGACUGUGUGGUGCGGUAUCCAACAUUUUUACUGUGAGGAAAUUACAUUGUUCCAAGCAGGCACACGCCUUGAAUACAUUAGCAUGGAAUAAUAAGAUAGGACCUCGGUUCUAUUUUGCUGGUUUCUAGAACUGUGGUAAUGAUUAAUAGGGAUACUUGCGGGCAUUCGUGUUUAAUUGUCAACGGUGAAAUUCUUGGAUUUGAUAAAGACGGACUGCUGCGAAAACAUUUGCCAAUGAUGUUUUCA
This 381-nucleotide ribosomal RNA is filed under the name uncultured eukaryote. Its description in RNAcentral is "SSU rRNA". It matches the Rfam family "Eukaryotic small subunit ribosomal RNA", at positions 587 to 972 of the family's 1831-position model. The record is from RNAcentral.